GAUGAGGGACCGGAUUGGUUUCGAGACUAAGCUGAGGAUUGGGUGGUGUGAACGGGGGACACGAGCUAGACAGUUUAAAGCGACGUCGUUUGGGAGAGAGGGGAUUAAGAUUGUUGGCUCUUCUGAUGGUGGUUCGGCGGCGGCGGCGGCGGAGGAGGACAUGAGCGGCGGCGGAGGAGGACAUGAGCGGCGGCUGGGACCAGGAACGGGACAGUUGGUUUACGAACUUUCACUAAUCGUUAGAAGUUGGUUCAAGCAUUUUAGUUUUGUAGGUGAAUAACGUUGAAAUCUCUGUAUUUAGAUAAAACAACAAAUUAGAAUAUAGUUUGUACAAUAUUUUCAUAUGAGCCCUAAAACAAAAAUAUGUCCACAAAAGUUUAAAAGAUUUUAACAGGAUUGUAAAAAUAUUCUGUAGCAUCGCC
This 422-nucleotide long non-coding RNA is filed under the name Citrus maxima (pomelo). RNAcentral's name for it is "long non-coding RNA (CMAX_LNC000422)". The record is from RNAcentral. Lineage: Eukaryota; Viridiplantae; Streptophyta; Magnoliopsida; Sapindales; Rutaceae.